UGCGCAAAUGGCGCCAAAAUUACAUGGAAAUUUUCUUGGAAAAAUAUUUUUCGCAGAUAAAAUAUAUUUAUCAACUUAGGAAUUUUAAAUUUUUGCAUGAAAAUCCGAAGAUGUUUCAUGUGAAUAAAGUUCCGAGGUAAUUCGCAUUUUUCUUGUAGUGUCGUCCCAAGGGGACCUCCCCACCGAAAUAGCAUCCACCAUGAAAACGGCCCCUGCGUCUAGCAUAGGCGAAGAUGCCACUCUCAAAGCAACGGCCUUUUUCUUUUCAACGCUGGCGGCGGAGGAUUUCCCAAGCUCCAUCUUCCUCUUUCUCGACGUUGACUUCUUCCCAUUAGAGGACUCAUAUACAAGGUGGUAGAUAGACCGGGAAGAGAUCUCAUCCCAUACAGCCACAUCCCGAGGAGGGGGUUCCCUUAUUGACAAAGUUUGAGUAUGACCUCUGUGGACUCAGCCAAAGUAAAUUGCAUCCCUGCUGAUGCAACGGCCCGGCAAAAUGCCGGCAUUGGAGCUUUCUUUUUGGAAGCCCGUCGACCUGUAACAACAAAGAGGUUGUAUCAAUAAAUGAUGGCAAGCAACACAAGGCCGAAACAAAAGUAACACUUACUAGACGGAACCUUCGGUCUAAAGCAUUUGUAGAAAAUCGCCCAAUCUCGGAUUCCCACCAUGUGAGGUAACACACGAGCCAUCCAGUCCUCAAUGCCGACAAUGGGAAAGGGUGCACGCCUCUCAGGUAAAAAAAACAAAAAAAUCACAUAUGAAAAAAAAUCAAAAGGGAUGAAAGAAAAAAACAAGCAUAUGUCAUCAGCAUCUACGAUUAUGAUUCCACUGCUGAAGAAAUCCAACAUGGUCUGAGCGCGAAAACUUCCGGUUCGUCCUGUCAUCCAUUCUUAGGGGUGUGCAUUCGAUUUAUUGAUUCGAGUUUGACUCUUAUCGAUAACUACUUAUCGAUUUGAACAUAUGCUUAUCGUUGUCGGUUCAAUAAGGUUUCGAGUUUUCCAUUUUAAUUUAUCGAUUUUAAGGGCUUAUCGAUUCGGUUAUCGAUUACACCAAUAAGAAUAUUUUCGGGAUUCCACGGAAAGUAUAUCGCUACAAACUAACUAAUAAGGACAAAAAGAAACUAAAAUAAGAAAGGCAUCGUAUAUAACAUAAAUAUUGUGUCAACAAAUACAUGAAACGAAACUAAAGUAAGGGAUCAAACGUAUGCCACCAACACUCCAACAAUAUAACCAAAAAAAAAUACAUCAUCACGACUAAUUCUGUUUUUCAUUAAUUUGAACUUCAUUCUCCUGAUCUUUAAAUAUGAUCAUUUCUUAAAUAUGGUAGAGGAAAUAAUAGGAGAAGGGACUUAGGGUAAAGGAAAUGGUAUUAUAAACUAAGGGUAAAAAAAAUUUAAAAAAUAUUUAAAAAUUUUUUUAGAAAAAUUUUAAAAAAAUUGGUGUAUCUUAU
This 1446-nucleotide long non-coding RNA is filed under the name Nicotiana benthamiana. RNAcentral's name for it is "long non-coding RNA (NBEN_LNC025445)". Lineage: Eukaryota; Viridiplantae; Streptophyta; Magnoliopsida; Solanales; Solanaceae. The record is from RNAcentral.